GGUGUCGGUGCAGGCUCUGGGAGAGUGUGGGGGGUUUCAGUGCUUACUGGGGGUCUCCGUGCACUACUACCCCAGGCACUGCCGCUGCAGCUUCCUAUUGGCUGCAGGGGUGCUUGGGGCAGGACACAGAUCCACUCCGCCCAGGGACCACAGACAGGAAGCCGCUCAGCUCCACUGCGCUGCCGGUGUGGGUGCUUGAGCCCCAGAGCACCCAUGGAGUCAGUGCCAAUGGGUGGUGCCAACUGCGGUCAAAGCACUGGUGUGUGAGAGAGCCAUUCCUGUGCUCUGGUCGCUCCUAGCCCUGUAUGUGACUCCCUGAGCUUCCACCUCUUCGCCUCUCUCUGCCUCAGAGCUGGAAAGAGGAAAGCGCUCUGAGAUCUACAGCCGGGAGGAGCUGUGUGAAGCAAGCUUCUGACAGCAGAGCUGCUGAGUGGUAAGGGGGUCCCGCUGAAGGGCCCACAUGAUUGCAAAGUUCCUGGAGCUGACAGGCUAACAAAACUGCAGCAUGACACCACCACAUCUUGAAAUACUAUCCCCUCAAGAUGCAGCACCAGAAAGAGCCACUGUGUGCCAAUGCAAAGCUGUCUCAGGAGAGGACAAUCUCCAUGUGACUCAGGAUACUUAUAUGAGGGUGAAGGUGUACACACGGCCCACAAGAGGCCUCAUUCCUCUCUCGCUUCUAUGAGACAAAAUUACACUGUAUAGAACCAGGAUUGGAGCACCUUUAUACUAGAGACUGUACACACAUAAAUCAUUUGCCCCAAAGCGAUUACAAUUUAACUAAUAAGCCACAAAAAGAAAGUUAACGAUAAAGUCACAGAAGAACAAGGCCAUUGUUUUGCUAUUGGUGUAGCAGAAAAGAUCCACCAGCUAAUCCCCCAUUUGCAGCAAGCUAUUGUUUACCAAUGGCAAUGUCCCUUCCAAGAAGGGCCUGCCAUUUUCUGAAAAGAUUCUAGAGUGAUUCUCACUCUAUGGCCCAAUUAAUAUUUAAUUAUUCAGUUGUUUAAUUGAAGUGAUCGGCUUCAACAAAAGAGAUUGAGGGAGACCCACAUCAAAGUGUCCCGUAGUACAAUGGGUAGGGUACUCACCUGAGAUGUGGGGAAUCCCUGUUCAAAUCCAUUCUCCUCAUUAGGCAGAGGAGGAAUGUGAACCAGGAUCUCCCCUGUCUUGGAUAAGUAUCCUAACCACACUCUCAUGCCACAUGCAGCGUCUGUUUCUAACUGCUGUUUGUCCUUUGGUGUCAGCAGCCUUGAAAUACGCACUUGUAUUCUGUAAAAAUGCUGGUCAGGGUCCAGGGGACUGUUCUCCCUUUUCUCUUUUGGUGAGGAUAUUCUGCUGUUGUACUGUGACUAAAUCCAAGGCUUGCACUGGUCUGCGACUCAGCAGCGUGUCAACUUCUCUAAACUCCAACUGAUAACAUCUCUUGUUUGUUAUCAGCAGUCUGCAUUUGCCCACUGGCCUCAGGAUGGCACAUAACCAUCACCUGAUCACAUUUCUCCAGUCUAAUAAUGUUGUUUAUCAGUGUUGUGGGGUUUACAUUGCAGCAUUGAAUUGGUCACAGACCUAAUAUAGCUAAAAAUAUGACAGUUGAAUGACUGACAGCCUUCUUCUGCAGCAUGUGUAUAUUAUGAGUCUUUGGAUCUGCUAAAGCCACACCACAGUCAUCCUCUUCAUUAGAAGUCUCUACAUCCUCAAUCGCUGCUGCUACUCUUUUCUUCCUGGGUAGGUGCAGCAUUGCGUGGUUCUCUCUCCCAUGCCCCUUUUACCAUUGCCCAAGGCUGGGCAUUUUUCUUUUUGCCUUUCAUGUUGCUUUCCACAUUAUGCACACUGGACCAUGAUUUCUGCUUUCUCAGUAAGUCUGUCUCAGUCUUGCUUCCUUUCACUUGAGUUUGUGUGCUUGUUCUGCAUGAGAGGCUGUCAUUGUUUUGAUCCUUUCCCUUGACAGUCCUUGCUAGUUGCAAGCACUUCUCUAGGUUUAGAACUGUUUCUCUCAAUCUCUCUGUAACCUGUAAUCAUGAGUUCCACAAACAUCUGUCUCUAAUUAGGAAAUCUUUAAUGUUUACAAAGUUACAUGUGGGUGCCAGAGUUCUAAACUCCAUAACUUAAGUAACUAUUCCUUCUUCAGAUUCCUGGUUGUGAGUAAAAAUCACUCUCUCUGAUUACAGUAUCAAUGUGUCUAGGGGUCACAGUACUCAGAGACCUUUAUCAGCUGUGGCAGAGUUUUGGGCAUUAUUCCUAGCGCCAGUGUCUCACUCCUUACUCAUCCUUUUCUUCCUUGGUAAGAUGGUAAAAUAGCUUUAUCUUCAUUUUCUCAUCUUUAUACUCUAGCUCAGCUGUAUUUACAGAUACAGUUCUUUUUUCCACUGCUUCCAUCCUGUGCAGUGGGCCACGGACCGCCUCCCGGCCCGAGUGGUGGCAGCAGCGGGGCCCCAGGCCUCUCUCCGCCUGGAGCAGCAGCAGUGGUGGUGGCGGGGCCCUGGGAUGCCCCCUGCCCAGGAGCAGUGGCAGUGCCUCGGGCUGCCCCCCACCCCCAGGAGCCACAGCAGCAGCGUCCUCUGGAGCACACACACCUGCCCUCAGCACCUAAGAUUUAGUUAGGAGUAUUUUUAGUAAAAGUCAUGGACAGGUCACUGGCCAUGACUUUUUGGUUAUUGCCCGUGACCUGUCUGUGACUUUUACUAAAAAUACCCAUGACUAAAUCAUAGCAUUACUUCUAAUAUACAGGUCAUUAAUAUCAAUGUGAAAUGUAUGUAUCAACACGAUAAGAGGAAUUAGGGAUACUUACUGAUAUUAUGCUUUAAGAUCUGUAACCGGUUUUUCUCUCUGUUUGGUUUUCCUCCAGACAGGACAGGAGGUAGUUAUCUCCGUGUCUCCUACGGUAAAUUAAGCAGGGUUAGCCAAAGACAAUGGGGACUAUCUUUGUGUAGUGAGGCAACAGGAAAAGCAAAUUAACAGAGUACCAACAUAGACCGCAUGGUAUCUGCACCCAGAAGAACACACAACAGGGGACUGGAACUUUGUCAGGUGUGUGCUUCAAAGAGUACAUUGCAAAGGAAUGUACUGGACUAUAAGAAGAUGGGGGAAAAGAGAUGAUUAUCUAUUUACGGAGGAACCCUCUUGUGGGGUAUAGGGAAAACAUGAAAAUGUGAAUCCUGGUAUGACUGAAUACUAGUAAGGACUACAGGAAAAGUUAUAGAUAAGAUUCUUUUGAUAGUUAAGUUUUAAUCUUGUAGAAGUGCUUUUUUGUUGUUUUUCAUUUGUAACCAUGUCUGUUUCUGUUAUCUUCGCUUAGUGUCACUUUAAUCUGCUCUUUAUUAAUAAACUUAUUCUUGGUUUUAUUAUUA
Non-coding RNA from Chrysemys picta bellii (western painted turtle), 3344 nucleotides. The record is from RefSeq and is a predicted model, not a curated record. Lineage: Eukaryota; Metazoa; Chordata; Testudines; Emydidae.